CCUACGGGAGGCAGCAGUGGGGAAUAUUGCACAAUGGACGAAAGCCUGAUGCAGCGACGCCGCGUGAGGGAUGAAGGCCUUCGGGUUGUAAACCUCUUUUCCAGGGAAGAAGCGAGAGUGACGGUACCUGGAGAAGAAGCACCGGCUAACCAGCAGCCGCGGUAAU
RNAcentral lists this ribosomal RNA (166 nucleotides) under uncultured bacterium. Its description in RNAcentral is "partial 16S ribosomal RNA". It matches the Rfam family "Bacterial small subunit ribosomal RNA", at positions 338 to 524 of the family's 1533-position model. The record is from RNAcentral.